UGAGGAAUAUUGGUCAAUGGGCGCAAGCCUGAACCAGCCAUCCCGCGUACAGGAAGACAACACUAUGCGUUAUAAACUGCUUUUCCAGGGAGAGAAACUUGCGCACGUGUUGCGCAAUUGACGGUACCCUGGGAAUAAGCAUCGGCUAACUCCGUGCCAGCAGCCGCGGUAAUACGGAGGAUGCGAGCGUUAUCCGGAUUCAUUGGGUUUAAAGGGUGCGUAGGCGGACUAUUAAGUCAGUGGUGAAAUCCUGCAGCUUAACUGCAGAACUGCCAUUGAUACUGAUAGCCUUGAGUUUGGUUAAGGUAGGCGGAAUGUGUAAUGUAGCGGUGAAAUGCUUAGAUAUUACACAGAACACCAAUUGCGUAGGCAGCUUACUGAGCCGACACUGACGCUGAGGCACGAAAGCGUGGGGAUCGAACA
Molecule: ribosomal RNA, 423 nt
Filed under: uncultured bacterium
Lineage: Bacteria
Description: bacterial SSU rRNA
Rfam family: Bacterial small subunit ribosomal RNA
Source: RNAcentral